This 329-nucleotide ribosomal RNA is filed under the name uncultured Clostridiaceae bacterium. Its description in RNAcentral is "partial 16S ribosomal RNA". Lineage: Bacteria; Bacillati; Bacillota; Clostridia; Eubacteriales; Clostridiaceae. The record is from RNAcentral.
GGAGUUUGGACCGUGUCUCAGUUCCAAUGUGGCCGAUCACCCUCUCAGGUCGGCUACUGAUCGUCGCCUUGGUGAGCCGUUACCUCACCAACUAGCUAAUCAGACGCAGGCCCAUCCUUAGCCGAUAAAUCUUUGACGGAAUCUACAUGUGAACAUUCCGUGUUAUGGGGUUUUAAUCAUCGUUUCCAAUGGCUAUCCCCCUGCUAAGGCAGGUUGCCUACGCGUUACUCACCCGUCCGCCGCUUUCCAGUUAAUAGAUUUGACCGAAAUCGCUUCACAUAACCUUCUCGCUCGACUUGCAUGUGUUAGGCACGCCGCCAGCGUUCAUC